This 21-nucleotide microRNA is filed under the name Drosophila mojavensis. Its description in RNAcentral is "miR-8-RA". Lineage: Eukaryota; Metazoa; Arthropoda; Insecta; Diptera; Drosophilidae. The record is from RNAcentral. RNAcentral also lists the same sequence under 4 other names.
AUACUGUCAGGUAAAGAUGUC